GGCAGAUAUGUAAAAGAAUUAAUAAAUACCUGCUAUCACAUUCAGAUCCUGCUCCGCCUCAUGCUGAUUCAGUGGGAAAACUCGGGCCUUUCCUUUCUUGUUUUGGUCUUGAUCAUCAUCCUUCUUCUUUGGAGGCUCUGGACAGUUGAGAACGAUGUGUCCGGUUCUACCACACCUAAAGCACAUGUUCUUCCCGAACCAGCAUUCACCCUUGUGGAGUUUAUUACACUUAGGACAGGGGAUAAUACUUCCACUCGUCCCACCAAUGCGAAUUCCUGUGCUUGGCCUUUUAUUCUGCAAAUUGUGUAUGUUCUUGCUUUGAUCACUCCACUUCCUUUUCCCCAACGACUCCUUGCUCUACUCGACAUACUAUUCAAAUGAGGUCCUCUGAUAUGAAAUAGCAUGAGCCCUCUCCAACAUUUCACGAUAUGUGGUGAAACGAUGGGAAAUAAUGAUCAUGCCGAUUCAGGGCACAGUCCAUUCUCGAACCUCCUAAUCUUCUUAACUUUUGUAUCCAGCAAGUGCGGGGCAUACCUUGAGAGCUUCUUAAACUGUCUUUCAUAAUCAAUAAGUGACAUGUUUCCCUGUCUGAGCUGCAGAAAUUCUGAUUCCUUGAAGUCCCUCAAAGCCCGUGGGAAAUAUUUUGCCAUCACUUCGUCUUUAAACUGCUCCCAAGUCAGAUUACGUUGCUUCUCUUCCGUCCUUGUACGUGAAACAGAUUCCCACCAAUGACCAGCUACUCCAAUCAACUUAAAUUCUGCGCAUAAUACUUUCUGUGCAUCCGUACAAGCAAUGUGUCGAAAUAUGCGCUCCAGGCCUCUUAUCCACUCUUCGACAACCAGUGGUUCAGAAUUACCGUCGAAAGUGGAAGGCUUGUACCUAUGAAACUGCUCAACCACUGAAACAGCUCCAAGAGCAAAAUGCGGUGCAUUCUGCUGUGGCGGUGCAUUUUGUGGUGGAGGUGCUUGAUUUUGCCUGCUCAACUCUUGUACCACUCAUAGUAAAUCGCGCAUCAAAUUCUUAUGAGUAGGUGGUGCCAUUUCCUAAAAUUUAAUAUUAAGUUACGAUCACAUUUUAGCACUAAGUCUAUCAUGCUACACUUAUUUUUUUAUCGUAAU
RNAcentral lists this long non-coding RNA (1118 nucleotides) under Olea europaea subsp. europaea. The record is from RNAcentral. Lineage: Eukaryota; Viridiplantae; Streptophyta; Magnoliopsida; Lamiales; Oleaceae.